Molecule: ribosomal RNA, 253 nt
Filed under: uncultured bacterium
Lineage: Bacteria
Description: partial 16S ribosomal RNA
Rfam family: Bacterial small subunit ribosomal RNA
Source: RNAcentral
UACGUAGGUGGCAAGCGUUAUCCGGAUUUAUUGGGUUUAAAGGGAGCGUAGGCGGUUUUGUAAGUCAGUGGUGAAAGACGGUCGCUCAACGAUCACAUUGCCAUUGAUACUGCAAGGCUAGAGUACAGUAGAGGUGGGCGGAAUUUAUGGUGUAGCGGUGAAAUGCAUAGAUACCAUAAAGAACACCGAUUGCGUAGGCAGCUCACUGGACUGUAACUGACGCUGAGGCUCGAAAGUGUGGUAGUCAAACAGG